This 102-nucleotide Y RNA is filed under the name Carlito syrichta (Philippine tarsier). RNAcentral describes it as "Y RNA (ENSTSYG00000031128.1)". It matches the Rfam family "Y RNA". From Rfam's summary of the family: Y RNAs are components of the Ro ribonucleoprotein particle (Ro RNP), in association with Ro60 and La proteins. The Y RNAs and Ro60 and La proteins are well conserved, but the function of the Ro RNP is not known. Lineage: Eukaryota; Metazoa; Chordata; Mammalia; Primates; Tarsiidae. The record is from Rfam by way of RNAcentral.
GGCUGGUCCAAGUGCAGUGGUGUUUACAGCUAAUUGAUCACAGCCAGUUACAGAUUCCUUUGUUCCUUCUCCACUCCCACUGUCACACUUAACUAACCUUAA